RNAcentral lists this ribosomal RNA (425 nucleotides) under uncultured bacterium. Its description in RNAcentral is "bacterial SSU rRNA". It matches the Rfam family "Bacterial small subunit ribosomal RNA", at positions 355 to 796 of the family's 1533-position model. The record is from RNAcentral.
UAGGGAAUUUUCCACAAUGGACGAAAGUCUGAUGGAGCAACGCCGCGUGCAGGAUGAAGGCCCUCGGGUCGUAAACUGCUUUUAUUGGUGACGAUUAUGACGGUAGCCAAUGAAUAAGGAUCGGCUAACUCCGUGCCAGCAGCCGCGGUCAUACGGGGGAUCCAAGCGUUAUCCGGAAUUACUGGGCGUAAAGAGUUGCGUAGGUGGCAUUGUAAGUCUGUAGUGAAAGCGUGGGGCUCAACCCCAUACGCAUUAUGGAAACUACAAAGCUAGAGGACGAGAGAGGUAAUUGGAAUUCCUAGUGUAGGAGUGAAAUCCGUAGAUAUUAGGAGGAACACCGAUGGCGUAGGCAGAUUACUGGCUCGUUCCUGACACUAAGGCACGAAAGCGUGGGUAGCAAACGGGAUUAGAUACCCCCGUAGUCC